GAUGAACGCUGGCGGCGUGCCUAAUACAUGUAAGUCGAACGGGCAAGUAGCAAUAUUUGUUAGUGGCGAACGGGUGAGUAGCGCGUGGGUGACCUGCCCCGAAGCUGGGGAUAACAGCUCGAAAGGGCUGCUAAUACCCGAUGUGUUCACGGGAGCUAGAGAGCCGUGAAUAAAGGAGCGAUCCACUUUGGGAGGGACCUGCGACCCAUCAGCUAGUUGGUAAGGUAACGGCCUACCAAGGCGACGACGGGUAGGGGGCCUGAGAGGGUGGCCCCCCACACUGGCACUGAAACACGGGCCAGACACCUACGGGAGGCUG
RNAcentral lists this ribosomal RNA (319 nucleotides) under uncultured Chloroflexota bacterium. Its description in RNAcentral is "bacterial SSU rRNA". It matches the Rfam family "Bacterial small subunit ribosomal RNA", at positions 28 to 351 of the family's 1533-position model. Lineage: Bacteria; Bacillati; Chloroflexota. The record is from RNAcentral.